This is a long non-coding RNA of Sapajus apella (tufted capuchin), 667 nucleotides long. RefSeq lists it as uncharacterized. The transcript is spliced from 2 exons. NCBI's taxonomy places the organism in Eukaryota, Metazoa, Chordata, Mammalia, Primates, Cebidae. The record is from RefSeq and is a predicted model, not a curated record.
UGAGCCCCUGUGCCCAGUCGAGGUCCUCUUUUUACAUAGUAUGUACUGAACCAUCACACCAACAUUGUAUCUGAUUUUUGCAUUAGAAAAUUUUUUUUUCUGGAAAAUAAAAAUAUUUUUAUUGAAUUUGCCUAGGAAAUCUAGGGAGAUCUGGAACAUAUUCUCCUCUGAGCUAUUUUAUAUGACUGUAUCUCAAGUCAUUCUCGAAUUUCUCUGUCUCUUUUUUCCAUCCAAACUGUGCUCAGUAUAAAUUACCAGGUUGUCCCAGGGACUUUAACCCUGUGUGUGGCAGUGACACGUCCACUUAUCCCAAUGAAUGUACUCUGUGCAUGAAAAUCAUGGAAGAUGGUCAUGAUAUUAAAAUCAUCCAAAAUGAACCCUGCUAAUGGAGCAGUUUACAGAAAAGAAGAUGGAGUUACCACCUUGAUUGGCACACUAGAUAAAUCGCAUUUCCUCUUUUUCUCUUUUCCUAUGUUUCUUUGCACGAGAUUUGUUAACCCACAUUUUCUAAGAGGAGAUAUGGAAGACAGCCAUGUGUAGUGAUGGAUAAUUUAAAGAAAGAAAGAAUCUUCCUUUCUUGGCUUUUGCUCCUAGAGUUAAGCUUACUGCCUAGAUGACUUGUGCAUUGGUUUAUUCAGUUGAAAUAAAAUCAGCAUUGAAUUCAGUU